Molecule: ribosomal RNA, 466 nt
Filed under: uncultured bacterium
Lineage: Bacteria
Description: partial 16S ribosomal RNA
Rfam family: Bacterial small subunit ribosomal RNA
Source: RNAcentral
GACGAACGCUGGCGGCGUGCUUAACACAUGCAAGUCGAACGGAAAGGCCUCUUUCGGGGGGUACUCGAGUGGCGAACGGGUGAGUAACACGUGAGUAACCUGCCCUUGACUUUGGGAUAACUUCAGGAAACUGGGGCUAAUACCGGAUAGGAGCUCCUGCUGCAUGGUGGGGGUUGGAAAGUUUCGGCGGUUGGGGAUGGACUCGCGGCUUAUCAGCUUGUUGGUGGGGUAGUGGCUUACCAAGGCUUUGACGGGUAGCCGGCCUGAGAGGGUGGCCGGCCAAAUGGGUAAUAGUGGAGGGCCAAGCCGCCAGGGGGGGGAAGUGGGGGGAAGUAUUCCAAAAGGGGGGGGAGCCAGAGACAACAACCCCGGGUGCGGGAAACCGGCUUUGGUGUUGAAAACCGUUUUCGCUCAUACUAAGGCUUUGUGUGGGGGUGGUGGGUAAAAAAGCACGGGUUAAUUAGGU